RNAcentral lists this ribosomal RNA (423 nucleotides) under Bacillus cereus. RNAcentral describes it as "bacterial SSU rRNA". It matches the Rfam family "Bacterial small subunit ribosomal RNA", at positions 1 to 411 of the family's 1533-position model. The record is from RNAcentral. Lineage: Bacteria; Bacillati; Bacillota; Bacilli; Caryophanales; Bacillaceae.
UUUAUUGGAGAGUUUGAUCCUGGCUCAGGAUGAACGCUGGCGGCGUGCCUAAUACAUGCAAGUCGAGCGAAUGGAUUGAGAGCUUGCUCUCAAGAAGUUAGCGGCGGACGGGUGAGUAACACGUGGGUAACCUGCCCAUAAGACUGGGAUAACUCCGGGAAACCGGGGCUAAUACCGGAUAACAUUUUGAACUGCAUGGUUCGAAAUUGAAAGGCGGCUUCGGCUGUCACUUAUGGAUGGACCCGCGUCGCAUUAGCUAGUUGGUGAGGUAACGGCUCACCAAGGCAACGAUGCGUAGCCGACCUGAGAGGGUGAUCGGCCACACUGGGACUGAGACACGGCCCAGACUCCUACGGGAGGCAGCAGUAGGGAAUCUUCCGCAAUGGACGAAAGUCUGACGGAGCAACGCCGCGUGAGUGAUGA